This 468-nucleotide ribosomal RNA is filed under the name uncultured bacterium. RNAcentral describes it as "partial 16S ribosomal RNA". It matches the Rfam family "Bacterial small subunit ribosomal RNA", at positions 28 to 507 of the family's 1533-position model. The record is from RNAcentral.
GACGAACGCUGGCGGCGUGCUUAACACAUGCAAGUCGAACGGUAAGGCCCUGCUUUUGUGGGGUGCUCGAGUGGCGAACGGGUGAGUAACACGCGAGUAACCUGCCUCUGACUUUGGGAUAACUUCAGGAAACUGGGGUUCCUACCGGAUAGGAGCUCCUGCUGCAUGGUGGUGGUUGGAAAGUUUCGGCGGUUGGGGAUGGACUCGCGGCUUAUCAGCUUGUUGGUGGGGUAGUGGCUUACCAAGGCUUUGACGGGUAGCCGGCCUGAGAGGGUGACCGGCCACAUUGGGACUGAGAUACGGCCCAGACUCCUACGGGAGGCAGCAGUGGGGAAUAUUGCACAAUGGGCGGAAGCCUGAUGCAGCAACGCCGCGUGCGGGAUGACGGACUUCGGGUUGUAAACCGCUUUCGCCUGUGACGAAGCGUGAGUGACGGUAAUGGGUGAAGAAGCACCGGCUAACUACGUG